Molecule: long non-coding RNA, 1598 nt
Organism: Brassica oleracea var. oleracea
Lineage: Eukaryota; Viridiplantae; Streptophyta; Magnoliopsida; Brassicales; Brassicaceae
Exons: 6
Source: RefSeq, a predicted model, not a curated record
UUCUUCUUCGCAGCCACCGUUAUGUUUUGCAGUAACAUCAUGCAAUCAAGUUCACAUAAUCCCACGAACUCUUCUUUAAUGGAGCUUUAAUCAUAUCUUCAGUGGCCCAGUUCCGUGUAUAAAUACACCGGCUACAAGCAUAAGCCUAAUCUUUCAGAAUUUACAGGGUCUCUUAUUCAUUUAAGUGCUUCUUCGGUCAUGUAGACUUCUCAAAUUCGAUUUCCAGAGCUGAAGGCAGGCAGCUGCACACAAAGGGCGGUGAACUCAUGAAUGUUGACAUGCUGCUGACUGAUGUGAAGCUCUAGGCUUCGCUCAUCCAAGCCUCUGUAACCGUGCAUCGGAUCACCACACUCAAAAAUACACUUUGAAGAAAAUGAUCAAUGAGAGAGUGAGCCAGGCGAUCUUGGUGAGUGGUAAAAGCAGUGCUGGGAAGAUAGAGAGCAUAAAGAAGCUCAUGUGGUUACUCACCUACAUGGGGGAAAGUGUUGAUAGUGAAGAACGAUCUGUGGAGCAACAAGUUUUAGAGAUAUUCCAAUCCAGUUUUAGAAGCUUAUGGCAAGUGAAAAUCCCAAGAAACAAUACUUCACCGUAAAGUGGAUGAGUCUCAAGUUUGGUAAGUUGUCCAUUUUUAAUUAUAAUCCCUUGAACCUAAAUUUAAGAUACUAAGACAUAUCCCACGUUGCAAUUAUUUUGGUAAUUUGCUGGAGAUUCAAAACGACGAUAUAGGAAGAAUCUCAGGAGCUAUAACAGGAUAUUUUUGUUAGAGAGGUUGCGGGUUUGUCAAGUUUAGUACUCUGAAAGAAACUAUUAUUUCUUUUACAUGAUUUGUGCUGCACUAGAAAAGAUACAAGGAAAGCUAUUGACGAUGUUGGGCUUUGAUUCUUAAGAUCAGGAUUCAUUCUUCCGUGUAGUGGCUGUAUUCCUUCAUCUAGGGAACAUGGAGCUUGCAGAGGGUGAAGAAUGAGAAACUUCAGAAUCUUAAACUUGACGAGAAAUCACGGUUCCAUUCAAACCUCAAAGUUGUUCAUGCUAACGCUAAGGAAUUCAUCGUAGCAAGAUGUUAAUCAACAUUGUGUUCGGAAUCAGUGUCAUAUGGUGUUGAUGUGGCCGUUUGGACUUCACGUCGUAUCAUUGAUCUAAUAAUGUUAGGAGUUUUAUAUCUAUCAAAGGGUCAAUUUCCUUUUAUUUGUUAGGGAAUCUCUUCGUUGAGACGUUUGAUCUAUUAUAAGGAAGAAAUCAACAUUUGAUUGCAGUAAAGGCAAAUUUAAAUAAUAUAUUUCAAGAGGGAGGGUGACACUGAUAAAAAUACAGAAGACCGACAAUACCUCUCUUUUACUUUUUGCCAGCUCCAUCACCGAGAGACAUUGUUUUAAGCAGCACGGAUUGCCUCACCACAUUGCCAAUCUUUUCAUGGAUAUUGGCUUAUUGCUUAACAUGUCAACAGUUUUGGAUAACUCAUUUUCUGCAUUAACAACAAAUUCGCUAGGCCCACCAAUGGCUCGAAUGGAGAUCACAUACGUGGCUUGCCUCCCCCACCAUACGCAAUACGUAUUGCCUAAUAACAAAAACAAAUUGUAUAUAAUAGUUCAGCUUUGAAU